CCCCCGGGUCCGACCCCGAGCAGUGAUGGCCCCCCCAACCCUGUCCAACCCUAAGCAGUGGAGCCCCUGACCCCACCCGCGUCUGACCCUGAGCAGUCCAAGGGCGCCUGGCUGGCUUGGACCAUCCGUUAAGCCUCUGACUCUUCAUUUCGGCCCAGGUCAUGAUGUCAAGGUCAUGAGGUCGAGCCCUGCGUCCUUCACGCUGGGCUUGGAGUCUACUUGAGAUUCUCGCUCCCUCCCUCUCUUUAAACAAAAUUAAGAGAAAAUAGUCCUCCCUUCAGCACAUAUGUCGUCACGCACGGAAAUCAAGCUCUCAGACAAGGAUCUGAGCGCUGUGCGGGACCGCGUCUGCGAGAGCAGCGCCAGCUGGAUUCCGCACUGAGCAUUUGUUCUUAUCAGAAAAGCAAGGACAGAUGCCUCCAGGCGUGGGACAGGAGUACAAAGGGGCAAAUACCUUGAAGCCCUCGAGCUGCCUGCACUCUCCCAGACGCGCAGGCAUGCAGAGCGGCUGUCACGGGCUGGUGGAGUUACCGACCUCAGGCUGAAGCGUGGAAGCCGGUGUUUGAGUUCCUCGCGCCAGCUAUCAGCCGAGCGGGUGGCCACAGAGGACCUUGUGGAGAAAGUGCAGCAGCGUGACCUCUCCCCCAGGUCGUGCUUUUCUUCUUUGCUGAUGCCUAGUAGAUAUAUUGGGGAUCAAAGCCAGUUAGCUGAAUUAUUCUUUUCCGACCCUCUCAUAGGAGCUGCAAUCCAAGAGAGAGGUGAGAGGCGACCCUGUGUUUGGGUUGGGCUGGGAGGAAAAGCCUUUCAAGAACAAGGCAUUUAUCAGGCAGAACUUGGCAGAUUACCCUGUAAGGGGAGUGAGGGGUGUUCAAGGCAAGGACAGUUACGCGGGCAGAGCGAUCUCUGCGGUCUGACAAAGUAGAGGUUCGUCGUUGGAAUAACAGAUCUCGUUGGUUUCCUCGAGGCGUCAUCCAUCGUGUGGACGCAGGGUUUGGAUCUCCCUGUAAUAAGUUAAAGAGGGAGGUCAGCUGGCAAGUAGGAAUUUCUAGAGUGGGACGCAGCUGUGCCCAAGGAGUGAGCUAAAAGUGAAGUGGCGACGGAAAACGGACAGCGAUCUGUCGAGCAGUGACUGUCUGCGACGCGAGCCUAUACUCCAGAUACUCCGUGGAGCUGCCGGUGGUGUUUUCUCAGGAGCGGUGAGCAAACCCGCGGCGGUGACUGAAUCAAUAAGAAAUCGUAAACACGUACGGAGAAGGGUGUUAUUAUCUGAAGCAAGCAGAUAUCUUCCAUGUCAUGAUGAAUCCGUAUGCGUGGGAAUCUAUUUCUGGUGGGUUGAAGGGCUGCCCUG
RNAcentral lists this long non-coding RNA (1348 nucleotides) under Ursus maritimus (polar bear). RNAcentral describes it as "lncRNA (ENSUMAG00000010782.1)". Lineage: Eukaryota; Metazoa; Chordata; Mammalia; Carnivora; Ursidae. The record is from RNAcentral.